RNAcentral lists this ribosomal RNA (208 nucleotides) under uncultured bacterium. RNAcentral's name for it is "partial 16S ribosomal RNA". It matches the Rfam family "Bacterial small subunit ribosomal RNA", at positions 568 to 775 of the family's 1533-position model. The record is from RNAcentral.
CGCGUAGGCGGGCGGCCAGGUCCGGGGUGAAAGCCUCCAGCUCAACUGGAGAAGUGCCUCGGAUACUGGUCAUCUUGAGGGAGGUAGGGGCGUGCGGAACUUCCGGUGGAGCGGUGAAAUGCGUAGAUAUCGGAAGGAACACCGGUGGCGAAAGCGGCGCGCUGGACCUCUUCUGACGCUGAGGCGCGAAAGCCAGGGGAGCAAACGG